RNAcentral lists this ribosomal RNA (364 nucleotides) under Aeromonas hydrophila. Its description in RNAcentral is "bacterial SSU rRNA". It matches the Rfam family "Bacterial small subunit ribosomal RNA", at positions 71 to 434 of the family's 1533-position model. The record is from RNAcentral. Lineage: Bacteria; Pseudomonadati; Pseudomonadota; Gammaproteobacteria; Aeromonadales; Aeromonadaceae.
GAAAGUAGCUUGCUACUUUUGCCGGCGAGCGGCGGACGGGUGAGUAAUGCCUGGGAAAUUGCCCAGUCGAGGGGGAUAACAGUUGGAAACGACUGCUAAUACCGCAUACGCCCUACGGGGGAAAGCAGGGGACCUUCGGGCCUUGCGCGAUUGGAUAUGCCCAGGUGGGAUUAGCUAGUUGGUGAGGUAAUGGCUCACCAAGGCGACGAUCCCUAGCUGGUCUGAGAGGAUGAUCAGCCACACUGGAACUGAGACACGGUCCAGACUCCUACGGGAGGCAGCAGUGGGGAAUAUUGCACAAUGGGGGAAACCCUGAUGCAGCCAUGCCGCGUGUGUGAAGAAGGCCUUCGGGUUGUAAAGCACU